AGUGAACGCUGGCGGUAGGCCUAACACAUGCAAGUCGAACGGCAGCACAGUAAGAGCUUGCUCUUACGGGUGGCGAGUGGCGGACGGGUGAGGAAUACAUCGGAAUCUACUUUUUCGUGGGGGAUCACGUAGGGAAACUUACGCUAAUACCGCAUACGACCUACGGGUGAAAGCAGGGGAUCUUCGGACCUUGCGCGAUUGAAUGAGCCGAUGUCGGAUUAGCUAGUUGGCGGGGUAAAGGCCCACCAAGGCGACGAUCCGUAGCUGGUCUGAGAGGAUGGUCGGCCACACUGGAACUGAGACACGGUCCAGACGCCUACGGGAGGCAGCAGUGGGGAAUAUUGGACAAUGGGCGCAAGCCUGAUCCAGCCAGACCGCGUGUGUGAAGAAGGCCUUCGGGUUGUAAAGCCCUUUUGUGGGGAAAGAAAAGCAGCAGGUUAAGACCCCGCUGUUCUGACGGUACCCAAAGAAUAAGCACCGGCUAACUUCGUG
This 492-nucleotide ribosomal RNA is filed under the name uncultured bacterium. RNAcentral's name for it is "partial 16S ribosomal RNA". It matches the Rfam family "Bacterial small subunit ribosomal RNA", at positions 29 to 507 of the family's 1533-position model. The record is from RNAcentral.